Molecule: ribosomal RNA, 975 nt
Filed under: Loma lingcodae
Lineage: Eukaryota; Fungi; Microsporidia; Glugeidae
Description: SSU rRNA
Rfam family: Microsporidia small subunit ribosomal RNA
Source: RNAcentral
GGUAAGGGCCUACUUAGACGAAGACGGGUACGGGGAAUUAUCGUUUGAUUCCGGAGAGGGAGCCUGAGAGACGGCUACGAGUUCCAAGGACAACAGCAGGCGCGAAAAUUACCGCAGCCUGCGAUCAGGGCGGUAGUAAGGAGACGUGAUGACGAAGUGCUGAUAAAAGCUGCACUAGUGACAGGAGGAAAAGACUGGUGCCAGCACCCGCGUAAUACCAGCUCCUGGAGUGUCUAUGAUGAUUGCUGCAGUUAAAGAGUUCGUAGCCGAGGCAUUAUUUAACUGCGUUAAAGGGGAUAUCUCAAUUAUCCCUGUGCGCAGUGAUUUUACAGAAUAAGGAGUGCUUAGGGGCCAGAGUAUCAUACGGCGACUGGUGAAAUGGGAUGACCCGUGUGGGAGUAACAGAGGCGAAAGCGCUGGUCAGGGGCGAGUCCGAUGGUAAAGGACGUAGGCUAGAGGAUCGAAGACGAUUAGAGACCGUUGUAGUUCUAGCAGUAAACGAUGCCGAUGUCGUGGUGCCGAAUAAUGGCGACGCGAAAGAGAAAUCGAGUAGGGCCCUGGGGAGAGUACACGCGCAAGCGAGAAAUUUAAAGGAAAUUGACGGAAGAACACCACAAGGAGUGGAGUGUGCGGCUUAAUUUGACUCAACGCGGGACAACUUACCGGGCCCGACGACCGUAUGAGUGUAACACACGAUAGGUCGAAGAGUGGUGCAUGGCCGUUAACGACGAGUGGAGUGAUCUUUGGGUUAAGUCCGUAAAUUAGUGAGACCUCAGCCGUAAGGGACAGGUGCGCAAAGCACAGGAAGGAUGGGUCAAGGACAGGUCAGUGAUGCCCUUAGAUGGUCCGGGCUGCACGCGCACUACAGUGGUCGCCGAAAUUACCUGAUAAUUUUAAAGGCGAUCGAGAGGAAAUGAGCUUUGUAAGAGGCUCAGGAACGAGGAAUUGCUAGUAAUCGCGGACUCAUUAAGACGC